AUUUUUGAGGCCUAUUUGAGUUUUUUUGUGAAAGCUUCAUUGGAGCUUCAAUGGUGUGUUCGUCGAAUAAGAUGAAGAAAUGAAGAGAAAAAAUAGUUGUUGGUGGUGUAUUGCUAGAUAUGGUAGACAUACAAAAUCCAAUGAUUACUAUUUUGAUAAAAGAAUCAAAUGUCAAGAUUAAAAGAUUUAUGUGUUAAUAAAUUAACAGAAGGGACCAAUGUGACAUUUAAUUAAUUAAGCCAAAUUAUUUUUGUUUUGUUAAAAAAUAAUUAUUAAAUCUCUUGUAAUUAAAGAAGGUUGUUAGGGUUACUUUUGUCAUUGUGAAAUAUACAUCUUUCUUUUUUAUUACUUUUUAUCUUUCUUUACUUCCACUUUCCUUUAUACCAAACAACUAAAUAAUCAUUUCACUUUUU
Molecule: long non-coding RNA, 413 nt
Filed under: Trifolium pratense (red clover)
Lineage: Eukaryota; Viridiplantae; Streptophyta; Magnoliopsida; Fabales; Fabaceae
Description: long non-coding RNA (TPRA_LNC000176)
Source: RNAcentral